UGGGGAAUAUUGGACAAUGGGGGAAACCCUGAUCCAGCAAUGCCGCGUGAGUGAAGAAGGCCUUAGGGUUGUAAAGCUCUUUCGCCCGCGAAGAUAAUGACGGUAGCGGGAGAAGAAGCCCCGGCUAACUCCGUGCCAGCAGCCGCGGUAAUACGUAGGGGGCAAGCGUUGUCCGGAUUUACUGGGUGUAAAGGGUGCUCAGGCGGAUUUGUAAGUCAGAGGUGAAAUCUUACAGCUUAACUGUGAAACUGCCUUUGAUACUGCAAGCCUAGAGUAUGGAAGAGAGUGAUGGAAUAUCUGGUGUAGCAGUGAAAUGCGUAGAUAUCAGAUAGAACACCAAUGGCGAAGGCAGUCACUUGGUCCAUUACUGACGCUAAAGCACGAAAGCGUGGGUAGCAAACA
RNAcentral lists this ribosomal RNA (402 nucleotides) under uncultured bacterium. RNAcentral describes it as "bacterial SSU rRNA". It matches the Rfam family "Bacterial small subunit ribosomal RNA", at positions 355 to 774 of the family's 1533-position model. The record is from RNAcentral.